Molecule: long non-coding RNA, 408 nt
Organism: Alosa alosa (allis shad)
Lineage: Eukaryota; Metazoa; Chordata; Actinopteri; Clupeiformes; Clupeidae
Exons: 3
Source: RefSeq, a predicted model, not a curated record
CGAUCGGAAAGUCUGUUUGUCUCCAUGGACUGAACUAAUACAUUGAUGGACUUUUGUCACAGCAAAGGACUCAGCAAGUGUGGUGUGUCAGAUGAAGGUUAUGUUUGUCUGGCUCUGGCUCUAAUGAUAAACCCCUCCUGUGUGAAGGAGCUGUACGUGAACAACAAUCAUUCUGGAGGAUCAGCACAGAAGCUGUUAUCUGCUACACUGGAGGAUCCUCACCGCAAAGUUGAAACACUUCAAUUUGCUGACUGUAAACUCACAGAUAAAUCCUGUGAGAUUGUUGCUUCAGUUCUACAAUCAGCAAACUCCCUACUACAGCUGGACUUGAGUGACAAUGACUUGGGGGAUUCUGGAGUUCAGCUUCUCUCAAAAGGACUGUCCAGUUUUAACUGCAAAAUACACACA